GACGAACCGUACGAACGUUAUUCGGAAUCACUGGGCUUAAAGGGUGCGUAGGCGGCGCGGAAAGUCGGGUGUGAAAUCCCUCGGCUUAACCGAGGAACUGCGCUCUAAACUACCGUGCUCGAGGGAGAUAGAGGUGAGCGGAACUUAGGGUGGAGCGGUGAAAUGCGUUGAUAUCCUAAGGAACACCGGUGGCGAAAGCGGCUCACUGGAUCUCUUCUGACGCUGAGGCACGAAAGCUAGGGUAGCGAACGGG
Molecule: ribosomal RNA, 253 nt
Filed under: uncultured bacterium
Lineage: Bacteria
Description: partial 16S ribosomal RNA
Rfam family: Bacterial small subunit ribosomal RNA
Source: RNAcentral